Molecule: long non-coding RNA, 787 nt
Filed under: Junco hyemalis (dark-eyed junco)
Lineage: Eukaryota; Metazoa; Chordata; Aves; Passeriformes; Passerellidae
Description: lncRNA (ENSJHYG00000008581.1)
Source: RNAcentral
CUGCUAGUUGAUUCACUUACUCACCCACUAACAUUGAGCUCCUUUUCACUGUCUGUGGGCAAGGGGAAAAAAAAGGGGGGGGAAGGAAGAAAAAAGAAAGCAGGGGAAGAAGGAAGAAAGGAGGGGAAUAAACAAAAUUAUAUAUUUAAAAAUACCCGAGUAGAGCUGCAAAUCAGUUGGGAAAGAGGAUUUUGCCUGCCUUCUUCCUUAUUAUUUUGCUGCUGCAAGGCUGCUUUGCAAUCCGUAGGAAAUACUGUUGUGCUGAGGAAGAAAACAGCUCUCUCCUCCCCCUUUUUUUUUCCCCACCCUCCCCUCCUUUCUUCUUGCCUGAUUCAGAAGCUCCAGGAAUGUGCUAAUUGGCGGCGGCCUCUUCAGAAAGGAAAAUGGAUCUGGUUAUGUGAGGGCGCUGAGGAAACAGUCCCCAGCUACUGAGAGGAAGAAAGGCCGGUGGGAAAUACUCAGGUAGGAAAGCUGUGUAUGUCAUCCAGCAGUAAAAACACUUGUGGGCCUUCGUUCCUUUUCCAGACACUGUGUCGUGUUUGAUGCUUGAAUGGCUGAUCUGGUCACUAUCAUAGUUUAUUUGUUGUUUUAAGAAGCAGCCCUGUUUGGUCAAUUGAUUGCAACAACAAAACACUGCAAGCAAAGCCCUCAGCAUAAACAUUCCUCAGGCUAUCCCCGGUACAGUAUUGAUCCUGAUACGGAAUACAAACAAAUUACUCUGUGUGUGCGCCAUUCCAGCUAUAAAACAGAGCAAUAAUAUGUUCUACUUGCUGCCAAUAAAUGUGCA